This 98-nucleotide non-coding RNA is filed under the name Jaculus jaculus (lesser Egyptian jerboa). The record is from RNAcentral. Lineage: Eukaryota; Metazoa; Chordata; Mammalia; Rodentia; Dipodidae.
UUAGCAUUCCCCUUGACAAGGAUGGAAGAGGCCCCCAGGCCUUACAGCACACAUAUGGACAUUGCCAUCUACUUUGUGGCAUCUAACCACAGUUUUUU